RNAcentral lists this long non-coding RNA (856 nucleotides) under Prunus persica (peach). RNAcentral describes it as "long non-coding RNA (PPER_LNC003843)". Lineage: Eukaryota; Viridiplantae; Streptophyta; Magnoliopsida; Rosales; Rosaceae. The record is from RNAcentral.
UGACCAUAAGAUUAAUAAGUUCAAUUCUUUGUUGGAGUAAUCAUUUGUUUUAGAUUAAGAAACUCUUUGAACACAUAACCAUAAUCCAAGAGGUAGGUGCCAUAUGCACUUUAAAAACAUCCUCGACUGCAUUAGUAUCACUGAGGAAAGACACUAAAAGAGUCGAUGAACAUAACAUGGUGGAGAAGAUCAGAUGCCAUGAGCGGAGGGAGCUAAGGAGGUGUCCUAUGCCCUCUCUCUCACUCCCCCUCUCACUUUUCUUAGCCUAAUUAUAUAUCUCUUAUCCAAAUUUCAAAGUUCCCUUUUUCUUUUUAUGUUUUUCUUCUCUCUCUUUUUCACACUAUUACUACCCCUUCUAAAUAUCUUUUAUUAUCUUUUUUUGGCUCUAAAUUUUAUAAUAAUAAACUACAAUUCAAAUUUUCUUAGUACGUAUAUUUAACAAAAUACAUUUAAUUUGAAUCAAUAUUUUUUGCUCGUAUUAAUGAUCAAUAGAUAAGUAAUGUGAUAUAUAAAAUAAUAGAGUAUAGUAAUUAAAUUUAGAGAUUUUAUAUCAAGCAAAAAAUUAAUUCAAAUGUCACCAUCGUAAAGAAAUAUAUUUCAAUAUUUAAGAUGCCCCUUAUGUACGAAGUUUUUGACUCUGUCGCAGACGCCGAAACAAAGCCGCAAGGAAUAGAUACAGGAACGGCAUAUUAAGAAAAAGUAAAGAAACCAGCACAAAAACAAAACUGCCGACACCACCGUUGAGAAGACAGAGACAUAGUGUAGAGGGGCUCAUGAAAACGCCCCUGCCAUGACAAUCCCAGAAUAGUAGUAUCAUGGAUGGACCCCCUUGUGUGGUUGUCGAAGGCCAGCCACC